Molecule: ribosomal RNA, 407 nt
Filed under: Verrucomicrobiota bacterium
Lineage: Bacteria; Pseudomonadati; Verrucomicrobiota
Description: Verrucomicrobia bacterium partial 16S ribosomal RNA
Rfam family: Bacterial small subunit ribosomal RNA
Source: RNAcentral
UGGGGAAUAUUGGACAAUGGAGGAAACUCUGAUCCAGCAAUUCUGUGUGUGUGAAGAAGGUUUUAGGACUGUAAAACACUUUUAGUAGGGAAGAAAAAAAUGACGGUACCUACAGAAGAAGCAACGGCUAAAUACGUGCCAGCAGCCGCGGUAAUACGUAUGUUGCGAGCGUUAUCCGGAAUUAUUGGGCUUAAAGGGCAUCUAGGCGGUAAGACAAGUUGAAGGUGAAAACCUGUGGCUCAACCAUAGGCUUGCCCACAAAACUGUUGAACUAGAGUACUGGAAAGGUGGGUGGAACUACACGAGUAGAGGUGAAAUUCGUAGAUAUGUGUAGGAAUGCCGAUGAUGAAGAUAACUCACUGGACAGAAACUGACACUGAAGUGCGAAAGCUAGGGGAGCAAACAGG